AUUGAACGCUGGCGGCAGGCCUAACACAUGCAAGUCGAGCGGAUGAAGGGAGCUUGCUCCUGGAUUCAGCGGCGGACGGGUGAGUAAUGCCUAGGAAUCUGCCUGGUAGUGGGGGAUAACGUCCGGAAACGGGCGCUAAUACCGCAUACGUCCUGCGGGAGAAAGUGGGGGAUCUUCGGACCUUACGCUAUCAGAUGAGCCUAGGUCGGAUUAGCUAGUUGGUGGGGUAAAGGCCUACCAAGGCGACGAUCCGUAACUGGUCUGAGAGGAUGAUCAGUCACACUGGAACUGAGACGCGGUCCAUACUCCUACGGGAGGCAGCAGUGGGGAAUAUUGGACAGUGGGCGAGAGCCUGGGCCAGCCAUGCCGCGUGUGUGAAGAAGGUCUUCGGAUUGUGAAGCACUUUAAGGUGGGAGGAAGGGCAGUAAGUUAAUACCUUGCUGUUUUGACGUUACCAACAGAAUAAGCACCGGCUAACUUCGUG
RNAcentral lists this ribosomal RNA (484 nucleotides) under uncultured bacterium. Its description in RNAcentral is "partial 16S ribosomal RNA". It matches the Rfam family "Bacterial small subunit ribosomal RNA", at positions 30 to 507 of the family's 1533-position model. The record is from RNAcentral.